AUAGGGAAGGUUAACUAGGCAUAGUCAACUUUGCCCACUCUUCAUUUACCUUUUGGAAGAAGUCUCAGACUUCCUCACAACCAAAAAACCUCCGCCUGACACAAUUUUCAGUCCCUGCUCUGGCCUCUUCUGACAAGGAAGAUGCUCAGCCAGGAUGCAGGCUCAGCCCUUUGAGACUGGUAGAUGUACUUAGAAACCUUCGUCUAACCAGUGAGCUCUGCCCUUACCAGUCGCUCUUCAGUCACUGCUCCUAGGCCCCUAACUACUGAUUUGCUAUUGCACUGCAGAAUAUUCUAGGACAUUCAGAUUUGCAUGCAUUUUUCUUCUGUCCUUUCUUGACAGUGUUUCUCUGUGUAGCCCUGGCUGGCCCCGAACUCAGAACGGAUUGCCUCCGGAGAUGAGGGCACCCAUCAUUCCUGUUUUUUUGAAUGAGUGUGUUUUGUGUGUGGGGAACACACAUGAACGAGGACCCCAGGAACACCAUCUCCUUCCCUUGAGGGAGGGUCUCUCAUUGACCUCACCGACUGGGCUAGGCACUGAGCCCACGGAUUCUCUUUACUGAGGAUUUCAAGCAGACCAUUU
RNAcentral lists this long non-coding RNA (582 nucleotides) under Mus pahari (shrew mouse). RNAcentral describes it as "predicted gene 29561 (MGP_PahariEiJ_G0005774.1)". The record is from RNAcentral. Lineage: Eukaryota; Metazoa; Chordata; Mammalia; Rodentia; Muridae.